Molecule: ribosomal RNA, 837 nt
Filed under: uncultured Alphaproteobacteria bacterium
Lineage: Bacteria; Pseudomonadati; Pseudomonadota; Alphaproteobacteria
Description: bacterial SSU rRNA
Rfam family: Bacterial small subunit ribosomal RNA
Source: RNAcentral
AGGGUUUGAUCCUGGCUCAGAACGAACGCUGGCGGCAGGCCUAACACAUGCAAGUCGAACGCAGUAGCAAUACUGAGUGGCGCACGGGUGAGGAACGCGUGGGAAUAUACCCUGUAGUAUGGAAUAGCUCCGGGAAACUGGAAUUAAUACCAUAUACGCCCUUAGGGGGAAAGAUUUAUCGCUAUAGGAUUAGCCCGCGUGAGAUUAGCUAGUUGGUGAGGUAAUGGCUCACCAAGGCGACGAUCUCUAGCUGGUCUGAGAGGAUGAUCAGCCACACUGGAACUGAGACACGGUCCAGACUCCUACGGGAGGCAGCAGUGAGGAAUAUUGGACAAUGGGCGAAAGCCUGAUCCAGCCAUGCCGCGUGAGUGAUGAAGGCCUUAGGGUUGUAAAGCUCUUUCGAUGGUGAAGAUAAUGACGGUAACCAUAGAAGAAGCCCCGGCUAACUUCGUGCCAGCAGCCGCGGUAAUACGAAGGGGGCUAGCGUUGUUCGGAAUCACUGGGCGUAAAGCGCGCGUAGGCGGAUUGUCAAGUCAGAGGUGAAAGCCCAGGGCCUAACCUUGGAACUGCCUUUGAAACUGACAAUCUGGAGACUCGGAGGGGAUAGCGGAAUUCCAAAUGUAGGGGUAAAAUCCGUAGAUAUUUGGAGGAACACCGGUGGCGAAGGCGGCUAUCUGGACGAGUACUGACGCUGAGGCGCGAAAGCGUGGGGAGCAAACAGGAUUAGAUACCCUGGUAGUCCACGCCGUAAACGAUGAGUGCUAGCUGUUGGUCCCUUCGGGGCCAGUGGCGCAGUUAACGCAUUAAGCACUCCGCCUGGGAAGUACGGUCGCAAGA